This 1583-nucleotide long non-coding RNA is filed under the name Canis lupus familiaris (dog). Its description in RNAcentral is "lncRNA (ENSCAFG00845005628.1)". The record is from RNAcentral. Lineage: Eukaryota; Metazoa; Chordata; Mammalia; Carnivora; Canidae.
AGUUAUUAUUUACAUGAGAUUUAUUUUAUUCAAAGUUAAAGAAUAUUUCACAUGUAUUAGCAGUUUAAUUUUUCUCCUGGGGGAGGUAGAACUUUCAACCAUCCAGGAAGUAUGCCUUGGCUAAAAGAGCACUAUACCAUGAGUCAGGAAACCCAUAUGCCCUACUCAGGACCUGCUUGUUAUCCAUGUGACCUUGGAAAAUCACAAUAUUCCUGAGCUUCAGUUUCUUCUUUUAGAAAACAAGAAUAAUAGAUGUUGAAAUGCUUUGAUGUUAAGUAGCCUAGAAGUUCUACUUUCGAGGACUUUAUUGUAAAAGAGAAAAAUGCUUAAGUGGCAUAAUUUAGUUAAAAGGUAGAUUCUAAAUUACAAAAGGAUUAUCAGAUAAUUAUGAAAUGUUAUUGGACAUACACCACCCAGUAUAGCUAUCUUGAGUAAAAUAAUAAAAUCCAAAUUUAUAUGAGCUAAUUUGCGGAAAGAAAUUUAUUUAAUUAUGACUCAAGAUUUAAAACAUAUUAUUUAAUAGUCUUCCCAAAAAGCAAGCUAUGUAAAUAAUAUAUGGAGUAUAAUCUUGUUUAUUAUAAAAUGAAACAAAUCUUUAAAAUGACAUUUGAUUCAAAAUGCACUGAAAAAAAAGUCCAUGAGCUAUCUACCAAACUAUUUACAGUGGUUAAAAAUAAGAAAGUCAGUGGGUUCAAAAAGACGGUUAUAUAUGGCAAAGGUCAGAUGAUCAGAAGGAAAUAAAAGGAAAACAGAUAAGAGAUAAAGGCAGAUAAUGAACUUUUUGUUCCAUAUGAUUGUGUGUUGCUUGAAUUUUUAUAAGAGUUUUUUAAAUCCCAUUUAUAUAAAUAAGACAAAUUUUGAAUAACCAAAAUUCUGGAUGCAAGGAGACAGAGUAAGCAUCUGCAUUCCAUCAAAGACUGUUGAAAUAAUAUCAUAAACACACAGUAUGAAUAGCACUGAAACAAUGCAAAACAAGAGGCAUAGUCAUCAGCUCCACAGAUUUCUAUGAGAAAGAAAGCAGAUUCAAGUAAGUUGAUGGUAUAAUGUCCAGUCUCAGUCUUAGUAUAAAGGCAGGAGAAGAUGCAUGUUCCAACUUAAAGACAGUCAGGCAGAGAGAAAGAAUUUUUUCUUACUCAAUCUAUUAUUCUAUUCAGGCCUUCAGUGUACUGGAUGAGGCCCACCCACCUUGGAGAGGGCAAUCUUCUUUACUGAGUCUACAGAUUCAAAUGUUACUCUUAUGUGGAAACACCCUCACAGAUACACCCAGAAAUAAUGUUUAACCAAAUAUUUGGGCACUUUGUAUCCCAGUCAAGUUGACACAUAAAAUUAAUCAUCACAUUAAGGAAUGCCCAGGAAAAAACAAAGACAACAGGGGAAACAAAAACAAGGAUACCAGGGGAAAUUUUUUACUCUGACAUCACCCUCAAGCCAACAGUAAACAAAUCCUAACUCCUAGCCAAAUAAAUAUAAAACAUCUCACUCAAGGUCUCUAUUCCUCAAUUCUUUUAUCCAAUACAUCACGACUCACUUUCCACAAAAAAAUUAAAAAGGAUGCUAACAAGACAUAAAAAGAAAACAAAAAA